Athalia rosae (coleseed sawfly) is the source of this 1327-nucleotide long non-coding RNA. RefSeq lists it as uncharacterized. The transcript has 3 exons. Lineage: Eukaryota; Metazoa; Arthropoda; Insecta; Hymenoptera; Athaliidae. The record is from RefSeq and is a predicted model, not a curated record.
GUGUCAUUUGUCAUUUUUAGCGUUUCUAUUCGAUGUGAAGAUUCAAAAGUCUUUCUUUCUGAUGAUAUUUGCCUGAGUUUUGCGAGCGAUUAAAACACCGAUGACUUGUGUCAACGAUGAGUAAUCAUUGCAUAUUCAAGUUAAUUCAAAUAAGUUGUAAAUUACGGUACACACGUAUAUGCGCUUGUAUUUCGUACGAUACUCAUUUUUAUUUUGCAAUCAGUUUUACUAGCCAUAUACAGAUUUCCAAUGUAGUAUUUUUUUUGUCCUGUUCUGCAAUUUCCUCAUCCGUACGUAUAUUAUGCGUACAGACUUCUUAUUGUGACGGAGGAACGUCUUCUAACUCGAAAUAUCCUCGUUACCGAUGCAUCAUACUUGACUGUACGAGAAUCAGAAUUACUUUAUAUGGUCAGUCUUAUUGUCCGUUGUGCAAAAUGGAGCGUGAAAACUGUGAUAUUUCAUUAAAGUUUUAUCUUUGGCACAAUCAUUUCGAUCGGUCACGUCUUGAGGCGAUUACACGUGUUACGAUACCGUUCAUCUUGAAUUAGAUAAAACUGCGAAACACGCACAGCUCACAUACUCGAGCUGAAAUCUAAACAAAAAUAGGAGAUAUCUUGAGAUUAUUUUUUAACCACACGUCGCAUGUGUGUAAGCACAGCUGUUAAAUUCAAUUUUUAAAUUUCAUCGACUCGUGGGAGAAGAAACGAAAAAAAGCAAAUAAACCAAAGAAAAGAACAACACGCUCGUAUCGGACUCCGAUUAUUAUAUUUGGCUGCAAAACUGCGACCUAUGCUUGUUCGUGAUCAUAUUUAUCUACGCAGUGAAAAAUUCUUUCUCAUUUGAAAAAAAAAUGUAUUUCGUUUUUUCAUGUACAUAUACCGCAACUUUGCAUUAAAGUUUAGAAUGUGUUUCAACGCAUGGAGAAAUCGAUAUAAUUCUUAUCUUCGCAGUUCUGAUAGUGAAAAUCAAAUGUAAAUUUACUCAACGUUGAAUUUGGCAUAGGUGUAAUAUGGGUAUUAGGUAUGUACAUACUAGAAACUGCGCAGUUUUAGAUAUACGAUCUUUAAUCCAAGCAAUAAUAAUACGAAUUUUCCAAUGAGAAAUUUUAAUGAAUUUUAGUUGGUAAAAAAAUACGGUAUAAUUCCAAAUCCCAUAGUUAAUGAUGUUAUCAGCGAUCGCUCGAAUGAUUAUAAUCUACCAGAAUGAAAGCGCAAAAUUUUUCCUGAGAAACAAACAACAAUACAUUAACAUACAACGUGUCCGGAAAUAUCACGCUAUCAAAUCGACAUACACAUACAUAAUUAUAGCCUCCUGUUUACGAGUUAUA